GGAACGUCACGUGUCCUAGGUACAACGGUUACACUGCUCUUCACGUCGCCGUAUGUGAAGGAAACGUUGAAAUAGUGAAAUACCUAUUGGAACAAGGCAGCGACAUCGAUAAACGCGAUAUCCAUGGUUGGACACCAAGGGACCUAGCUGCACAACAAGGGCACGAAGACAUCGAGACGAUAUUCAAAUCAUUAACCAAAAAGAAGAAAACUCAACCAAUCAUGACUAUCCCAGAGAAGCAUGAAGUACGUUUCCUCGGAAGGUUUACAAGCGAACCGGUCAUAUCCACGGCAACGUCUGGUGAUGGUUUGGAUGGAUCAUCAAGAGGCAAAUCUCGACGACCGAGGCGUAAGAGCAGUAACUUCAACAACUCUCUGUUUGGUAUAAUGUCACAAAAUGUCGAGAAGGAUUUAUUACUAUCAGUUCAUCAACCAAAAGGUAUGAAGGAUCCUUUAGUUAAAUCAAGUAGAGUGAUAAUUACUUGCCCUGAAAAAGGAGACACCAUUGGGAAGCUUGUUUUAGUACCUGGGAGCAUGGAGGAAUUGGUUGAGAUUGGAGCUAAUAAAUUUGGGAUA
Molecule: long non-coding RNA, 575 nt
Filed under: Gossypium barbadense (sea-island cotton)
Lineage: Eukaryota; Viridiplantae; Streptophyta; Magnoliopsida; Malvales; Malvaceae
Description: long non-coding RNA (GBAR_LNC005837)
Source: RNAcentral